GGGGAAUAUUGGACAAUGGGCGCAAGCCUGAUCCAGCCAUGCCGCGUGAGUGAUGAAGGCCCUAGGGUUGUAAAGCUCUUUCGGCGGGGACGAUAAUGACGGUACCCGCAGAAGAAGCCCCGGCUAACUUCGUGCCAGCAGCCGCGGUAAUACGAAGGGGGCUAGCGUUGUUCGGAAUCACUGGGCGUAAAGCGCACGUAGGCGGAUUAUUAAGUCGGGGGUGAAAUCCCGAGGCUCAACCUCGGAACUGCCUUCGAUACUGGUAAUCUUCGAGUCCGGGAGAGGUGAGUGGAACUCCGAGUGUAGAGGUGAAAUUCGUAGAUAUUCGGAAGAACACCAGUGGCGAAGGCGGCUCACUGGCCCGGUACUGACGCUGAGGUGCGAAAGCGUGGGGAGCAAAC
RNAcentral lists this ribosomal RNA (401 nucleotides) under uncultured bacterium. Its description in RNAcentral is "bacterial SSU rRNA". It matches the Rfam family "Bacterial small subunit ribosomal RNA", at positions 356 to 773 of the family's 1533-position model. The record is from RNAcentral.